ACAUACACGGCAGCAAAAUCACUGGAGUCCAGGGUUUUUGUCACACACACAGAGCACAGAUUUUUUUGAUUAUGUAGAUUUCUUUUCCUACUGCAGUUUCAUAUGCAAAGCAUGCAUCAGCCACAUCCAUGCUAUCUCCUAAAGCAGUCAUUCUGAAACCCAAUCUGGGGACAGUGCAGACUAAAUAAAAUUUCAUUUUGAUUUGGCCUCCCGCUGCGAAUGGGACUGCUUUGUCUCAGCCGACAGAACCAGCAAGCCAGAAAGAUGAGGAAACUGAGCCAUCAAAACUGAAUGACUUGCUUGAGGCCAUGCAGCUAUGGAGGGGAAGACCAGGAUCUGAAGCCAACUGGGUCUCCCAACCCUGAGCCACUGAACCAUUUUACUUCUUCGAAAAACUUAAUAGUCACCGUGGCCCACCUAGGCCACGGACAGCAUGGAGGUAAUGAACUUUGAUCAAAAACCUAUGGUGCAUUGACUGAGCAUUUAUUAUUUUAAGACAAUAUAUUUGGAUGUCUUUUGCAUGUACAGAAUUCAAAUUAUUAAUAAUGUCCACAAAAGUUGCCAUAUAUUUUUAUGCUGAAAUACAAUAAAAUGUCAACUUCAUUCCAGUGGCCUUUAUACAGUACACAUUAUGUUUAAUGUCGUUCUGUAUUGCAGCUAAAUUUAUUAUCUAACUUGUUUAUGCCAAUAAGCUGAUGCAUAUGAAAGAUACCUGCAAAAAAAUUAUCUUCUCAAAACACUUCAGAAAAAGCCAUAAAAGUAUUAUGAUAAAAUAUCAGAGGAAGAUAUAAAAUUGGGAGGAGGUGAAAUUAUGCUUCGUAGCACUUGCUCACGAUAUUUGAGAAAGUAAACAUUUCUGUCCUUUAAAUGAUUUCUGAAUUUCUCUAACAGUGCUGCUCUAUUUUCUCAGUCAACCUUGCUGAAUAGCUCAGUUUUCCUUUGCAGUUUGCAGAGAAUGUGGCAGGAAGAUAAGCCUGUUUUUUUCUCUUUCUCACGUAACACUGCAGAGGUCAUCCCUCACCUCCAGAGCUGGCCUUGUCCCUAGCGCCCACAUGUGCUCUGUGGCUCAGAGUGGUCCACAGGACCUUCCAAAUCCAAGCACAGGGUAAAGGUUUGAAAUGUAUAUUUUUAAUUUUUAGUACAUAUUUACUGAGCUACCAGUGCUGUGCACACAUCGUUCCCUCCAUGGAGCAUGGUUGAAAAUUCCCAGAGAGAAAAUUCCCUUUCUCUGAACACAGUGUGAGACAGCUCCCUGGCUGAUAGCCCCUCAAGGCAAACAUGAUGACAGGCGCCUUCAAGAUUCUAACAAGAGCCCUGGGCUCUCAUUGCAUGCAUGACACCAAAAGCACUUUAUUUUCUUACACAAUAGUUCUACUGGGGCUCUCCAGGCUGCAGACACAGAACUGGGGCUUAUGGGGCAGGAGAUUGAAUAAGGAUACCUAUAAGGACCUACAUGGAGGAAGGGAAGGAGACGAGACAGGACUAGAAGGGAAAAGGCGGCCUCAACAGAGUCCAACUGAUCUUGGGGAGCUCUGAUCUUGGGGAGCAUUAUAAAGGUAUUCAUCCUUGUAGUCUCCACGUUGAGUAGGCUGCUGGGGAGGAGGGAGGGGAGGAGUGGGUUUUGCUGUCUCAGUGCGCAGAGGUGGAAGAAAAUGUAUCUGUAAGUGGACUGUGCACUUCAAACCUGUGACACUCAAGAAUCAACUGUGUAAUAAAAGUGUGUGUGUGUAUUGAACCACUACCUCUCUAAGCUUCUAGAACAGUUCCUUACACAUAGCAGCGUUAAAUAUUUGUUGGGUGAAGUCAUAAAUAAAUGACAUCAAUGAACAAAUAGAAGCUUGCUUAAAAGGUAUGGAUAAUGUGGUUUGUAAGUUACUGAAGUUUUUAAGAAGGAUAUGAGAAGAAAUAUCAGCUAAAAUAAAAUAAUCUAAUGAAUGGAAAUAAACAUGUUUUCAUACUGAGUUAUGGUCAAAGAGAAGAGCAUUUUUAUCACAGUUCCUUUCUACACACCUUGACCACUGGGAUCAUGUUUCAUUCUGGUUGUAUUCUCCAAACCCCCAUCACGGUACCUUAAAUUAUUAGGUACCCGCUUGCUGUUUGUUGCAUUUAAUUGAUUUAGUCUAUUUAACCUCAUGAUGAAGGCAGAAGACCACAGUCCCUGAUGCCGUUAUGAAUGUAGAAGGCCAGUGUGUUCCAAGUGUCAGUAUGCCUUUUUCUAGAUCAUCUUUAAUACUAUUAGACUAGUGUGCCAAUUUCCCUCAAUAUGUGAAAACAACAUUCAAUAUUGCGUUGCUAUUUAAGAGGAUUUGUUAACUUUCAUGGGAAUAAAAGGCCCAUUGAGUGGAGCUCAGAAGCACUAGCCCAUCACAACAUUUUAUGGUGUACUCUUCUCGGCCCCAUCAUGGCCAGAGGUGUUGCCUUCAUGUUCUAGAGGACGACUCAGGACACACUUGGCUGUGGGAGGGAGGCAUGUGGGGAGUCUGGCUGGGUUCCUGUAUUUUAGUUUGGUAAACCAGUCACUCAAUCUCCUUAGGAGAAACCGGUAUCAUGUGUCUUGAAGCAAAUAAAUGACUGACUCUGACAUUCCUCUUUUAGGAUAAACUGUUUCCCUAGAAAUGCUCUCCAGCAUUCUUGCCACCAUGACUUUGGGACACGUUGACCAUGAGGAUGAGAUGGUCAAUGAUGGACAGGAGUCCAGAUUAUCUGAGACGUAGCAAUAAGGACACUGAUGCGUAAAUAUUUGAAAUAUCCAACAGGAAGCAUUUUAACUGUGCAAACAUGAUCCAAAUCUCACCGAGCUCAGGCCAAGGCUGCUAUCAGUGACUUUUUGGAAAAGAAAAAUGAGGAAGAGGAAAGAAACAGAGAAACAAGGCAUGCAGAAGAAAGCAGGAACCACAAAAACAGCAGCAAUAUGCCCUGUGUGUUCUGUUUCCUUGUAAAGCUACGAAGCGUGUUAAGGAGACACUUCAUUUUUUGAGGAUUCAUGCUCUUGUUUAUAUUAUAAUAAAAACAAGCACGUUCUUUCUAAAAAUUUAGGCAAUGCACUCAUGCACAUAAAAGUAAAACAAAAUCACCUGUAAUCCUACCACACGCAGAUCAGCACUUGCUGAUCUUUUCGUAGGGAUUCUAAAAAUAUCCUUUUCCCUAUAGAAUACGGUUAACUUCCGUUACCUAAUAACUGUUAACCAUUUAAAAAUUCUGCAAUCUUGUAUUAUGCUAGAAAAAGGAGCAGUCACUCUAUGUGGUAUUUCUAUAUAUUGGUUCAUUCAUUCAAUAAACAUUUUUAAAGUACCUAC
Molecule: long non-coding RNA, 3296 nt
Organism: Sapajus apella (tufted capuchin)
Lineage: Eukaryota; Metazoa; Chordata; Mammalia; Primates; Cebidae
Exons: 2
Source: RefSeq, a predicted model, not a curated record